Molecule: long non-coding RNA, 108 nt
Organism: Perognathus longimembris pacificus (Pacific pocket mouse)
Lineage: Eukaryota; Metazoa; Chordata; Mammalia; Rodentia; Heteromyidae
Exons: 3
Source: RefSeq, a predicted model, not a curated record
CAGCACUGGUAGUUCACACCUGUAAUCCUAGCUACUCAGGAGGAGGAGAUCUGAGGAUCAGAGUUGAAAGCAACCCAAGCAAGAAACUUGAUGAGACUCUUAUCUCCA